UUAAAAGAAAUUUUCUCUGACUUUGAUGCUAAAUACAGAGGAGCCUUUUGUGAAGCCAAGAUCAAGACAGCAAAAAGGCUUGUCAAAGUCAAGGUAACAUUUAGACAUGAUUCUUCAACGGUGGAAGUUCAGGAUGACCACAUAAAGGGCCCAUUAAAGGUUGGAGCUAUUGUGGAAGUGAAGAAUCUUGAUGGUGCAUAUCAGGAAGCUGUUAUCAAUAAAUUAACAGAUGCGAGUUGGUACACUGUAGUUUUUGAUGAUGGAGAUGAGAAGACACUGAGACGAUCUUCACUGUGCCUAAAGGGAGAGAGGCAUUUUGCUGAAAGUGAAACAUUAGACCAGCUCCCACUCACCAACCCUGAACAUUUUGGCACUCCAGUCAUAGGAAAGAAAACAAAUAGAGGAAGAAGAUCUAAUCAUAUACCAGAGGAAGAGUCUUCUUCAUCCUCCAGUGAUGAAGAUGAGGAUGAUAGGAAACAGAUUGAUGAGCUACUAGGAAAAGUUGUGUGUGUAGAUUAUGUUAGUUUGGAUAAAAAGAAAACACUAUGGUUUCCUGCAUUGGUGGUUUGUCCUGAUUGUAGUGAUGAAAUUGCUGUGAAAAAAGAUAAUAUUCUUGUUCGAUCUUUCAAAGAUGGCAAAUUUACUUCAGUGCCAAGAAAGGAUGUCCAUGAAAUUACUAGUGACACUGCACCAAAGCCUGAUGCUGUAUUAAAACAAGCCUUUGACCAGGCACUUGAAUUUCACAAAAGUAGAACUAUUCCUGCUAACUGGAAGACUGAAUUGAAAGAAGAUAGCUCUAGCAGUGAAGCAGAGGAAGAGGAGGAGGAGGAAGAUGAUGAGAAAGAAAAGGAGGACAAUAGCAGUGAAGAAGAGGAAAAUAAUACUAAUUUUCUUCAGCAGUUGUACAAAUUUAUGGAGGAUAGAGGAACACCAAUUAACAAACGACCUGUGCUUGGAUAUCGAAAUUUGAAUCUCUUUAAGUUAUUCAGACUUGUACACAAACUUGGAGGAUUUGAUAAUAUUGAAAGUGGAGCUGUUUGGAAGCAAGUCUACCAAGAUCUUGGCAUUCCUGUCUUAAAUUCAGCUGCAGGAUACAAUGUUAAGUGUGCUUAUAAAAAAUACUUAUAUGGUUUUGAGGAGUACUGUAGAUCGGCCAAUAUUGAAUUUCAGAUGGCAUUGCCAGAGAAAGUUGUUAACAAACCAUGUAAGGAGUGUGAAAAUGUAAAAGAAAUAAAAGUUAAGGAAGAAAAUGAACCAGAGAUCAAAGAAAUAAAGAUUGAAGAGGAAGAGAAGAUAGUACCAAAAGAAGAAAAGCCUGCUGAAGAUGACAUUGAAAGAAAGGAAAAUAUUAAACCCUCUCUGGGAAGUAAAAAGAAUUUAUUAGAAUCUAUACCUACACAAACUGAUCAGGAAAAAGAAGUGAACAUGAAAAAAACAGAAGAAAAUGAAAAUCUGGAAGAUAAAGAUGAUGUGACAACUGGGGUAGAUGAAUCCCUCAGCAUAAAGGUAGAAGCUGAAGAAGAAAAAGCAAAAUCUGGAGAGAGACAGAGAGAGAGAGAGAGAGAGAGAGAGCGCGCGCAACCAGAAGAGGAGGAGGAGGAGGAGGAAGAAGAGGAUGAAGAUGAUGAUGACGCCAAUGAGGAAGAGGAGUUUGAAUGCUAUCCGCCAGGCAUGAAAGUCCAAGUGCGGUAUGGACGAGGGAAAAAUCAAAAAAUGUAUGAAGCUAGUAUUAAAGAUUCUGAUGUCGAAGGUGGAGAGGUCCUUUACUUGGUGCAUUACUGCGGAUGGAAUGUGAGAUAUGAUGAAUGGAUUAAAGCAGAUAAAAUAGUAAGGCCGGCUGAUAAAAAUGUGCCAAAGAUAAAACAUCGGAAGAAAAUAAAGGUAAGCGCUUAUUUUACAAAUUCAUCUCCUGAAAUGGUAUCUAAGCUGGAUCUUACUGAUGCCAAAAACUCCGAUACAGCUCAUAUUAAAUCCAUAGAAAUUACUUCUAUUCUUAAUGGACUUCAAGCUUCUGAAAGUUCUGCUGAAGACAGUGAGCAGGAGGAUGAGACAGGUACACACGACAUGGACAGCAAUGGCAAAGAGGAGUGUAAGGCUGACCAUUUAACGCACCCCAGGAGUGACCUUUCAAAAGAAGAGCAGAACAGUUCGUCUUUGCUAGAAGAAAACAAGGUCCACGCUGAUUUGGUAAUAUCUAAAACAGCAUCGAAAUCUCCAGAGAGAUUAAGAAAAGAUAUAGAAGGAUUAUCCGAAGAUACUGAUUAUGAAGAAGAUGAAGUCACAAAAAAGAGAAAGGAUGUCAAGAAGGACACCACAGAUAAAUCUUCAAAGCCACAAGUAAAACGUGGUAAAAGAAGAUAUUGCAAUACAGAGGAGUGUUCAAAAAACUGGAUCACCCAGCAAAAAGGACGAGAAGGCCAAGAACAAAGAAUCACUUUGCAUAGAAAACACAAGCUGACACCAACUAAGAAAUACAAUAACAGCAGAGCUAAAGAUCGAAAAGAUGUCUGGUCAAGUAUUCAGGGACAGUGGCCUAAAAAAACGCUGAAGGAGCUUUUUUCAGACUCUGACACUGAGGCUGCAGCUUCCCCACCCCACCCUGCCCCAGAGGAGGGCCUGGCAGAGGGGUCACUGCAGACCGUGGCUGAGGAGGAGAGCUGCUCACCCAGCGCCGAGCUAGAAACACCACCACCGGCCAUUGCCGACACGGAAUUUCCAAGUAGUGGCAGUAAUUCAGUGCUAAAUACCCCUCCUACCACCCCCGAAUCGCCUUCCUCCGUCACUGUCACGGAAGCCGGUCGGCAGCAGUCUUCUGUAACCGUAUCAGAAGCGCUGGCCCCAAACCAAGAAGAGGUCCGAAGUAUCAAGAGUGAAACUGAUAGCACAAUCGAGGUGGAUAGUGUUGCAGGGGAGCUCCAAGACCUGCAGUCGGAGGGGAACAGCUCGCCAGCAGGCUUUGACGCGAGUGUGAGCUCCAGCAGUAGUAACCAGCCAGAGCCAGAGCACCCUGAAAAAGCCUGUACAGGUCAGAAAAGAGGGAAAGAAGCUCAGGGAGGAGGAAGUGCAUCCAAAAAGCAGAAACGAAGCCAUAAAGCAACAGUGGUAAACAACAAAAAGAAGGGAAAAGGCACGAAUAGUAGUGAUAGUGAAGAACUUUCUGCUGGUGAAAGUGUAACUAAGACUCAGCCAGUCAAAUCAGUUUCUACUGGGAUGAAGUCGCAUAGUACCAAGUCUCCUGCAAGGACGCAGUCUCCAGGAAAAUGUGGGAAGAAUGGUGAUAAGGAUCCUGAUCUCAAGGAACCCAGUAAUCGAUUACCCAAAGUUUACAAAUGGAGUUUUCAGAUGUCGGACCUAGAAAAUAUGACAAGUGCUGAACGCAUCACAAUUCUUCAAGAAAAACUGCAAGAAAUCAGAAAACAUUAUCUGUCAUUAAAAUCUGAAGUAGCUUCCAUUGAUCGGAGGAGAAAGCGUUUAAAGAAGAAAGAGAGAGAAAGUGCUGCUACAUCCUCCUCCUCUUCUUCACCUUCAUCCAGUUCCAUAACAGCUGCUGUUAUGUUAACUUUAGCUGAACCAUCAAUGUCCAGCUCAUCACAAAAUGGAAUGUCAGUUGAGUGCAGGUGACAGCAGGACUUGCUAAAGCACUUUGCACUUAAUGGCUGUUGAGGGCCACGUCUUUUUUAUACUGCACAGUGGCACAAAAAAAAAAAAUCAGACAAGCACUAUUUUAUAUUUAAAAAUUGUUUCUUGACAAGCUGACUUGGCACUUAAGUGCACUUUUUUUAUGAAGAAAAAGUACAAUGAACUGCUUUUCCUCAAGCAAUAAUUGUUUCCAACUUGUCUGGGAAUUGUGUGUCUGGUAACUUGAAGGCCUUCCACUGUGGCAAAUGGAGGCUUUUCACUGCCUGUAGAGACAAUACAGUAAGCAUAGUUAUUGGGUUGGCCAGAACAUGGUAAGAUAACUUACUGUAUAUGUAUUCCCUUGUAUUUUGUUAAAGCUGGAGCAUUUGAUAUUUUUCCAUUUAUUUAUGAAAAAAUAUGAACCUAUUUUCAUUUGUACAAGCUAAUUGUUUUUUAAAGCAAGUCACCUUUGGGUGGCUUUAAUUGUAUAAGUCAAGCACAUGUAAUAAAUUCAAAACCUGCAGUUAACA
This 4148-nucleotide long non-coding RNA is filed under the name Rhinolophus ferrumequinum (greater horseshoe bat). RNAcentral describes it as "lncRNA (ENSRFEG00010021882.1)". Lineage: Eukaryota; Metazoa; Chordata; Mammalia; Chiroptera; Rhinolophidae. The record is from RNAcentral.